Molecule: long non-coding RNA, 1748 nt
Organism: Oncorhynchus masou masou (cherry salmon)
Lineage: Eukaryota; Metazoa; Chordata; Actinopteri; Salmoniformes; Salmonidae
Exons: 3
Source: RefSeq, a predicted model, not a curated record
CAGAUAUCAAAGAACCGAUCAAUCACAGAGAGACACAGGGAGACCGACUACAGAAAUACUAGAUUCCAUGCCGUGUUGAUGGUCAUUAGAGUAGAUAGACCAGUGUGAACACGCACACAUACACACACACUUGGACUGGACGCUCAAAGUUAUUAGAACGCUUUUUAUGAGAGAAAGACUAGGAGAGGAGGAGAGGAAGAAGACAAGAGAGAAGAAAACUGGACUCUCAAUCACUAUCUGUCAUCUUUGAAACAGACCUACGCACUUGCUGUGGAGGAAAGAACUUGUUUGGAGUGAGAAAUGCAUCUAAAAUGCCACAAUCCUGGAUUAAUAUAAUUACACAUAUACAAUAUGCACAAGAAUUAUAGGUGUAAGAGGAAAGCUGUUUCUCUGUCUGGAGUGUAAUCUCUCCAGAGGUAAACUAUUCAGCGGCGUUGGGGAGUUAAUCCCAAAGGGCUUUAGAGAAUCACUAACCGAGAACAGCACGAUCAGCACCGAGAACAGCACGAUCAGCACCGGGAACACCCCCACCCCCCCCAACCCAACCCCAUGCACAGACGGUAAACGUUGUAACGACAACGGUAGAGUACCACGCCACAGCUCCCUUCCUCUUAGUUGCCAUCCAUCUGCGCGCGCAAUAGCGAUCACGGAAAAACCUCUCCAUCACUUACCAAGGUCUCGGUGAUGAUGGCGUCUUCCUCGUGUCUCGAUAUCGGGUCGGUCGCUGUGUGUAGGGGUAAUUUGUGUGUGUCGCUCUCUCUCUCUUCUUAUUAUCUCCCCUGUCUCUCUCUCAAGGACGAGGUGAAAUCCGUGCUCUGGUCAUCCGGCGGCUUCACAGACAAAACCAACACGCAGCGGCAAGAACAAUAUACAAAAGGCAAGGAAGGGACAGAGGGGACGAGAAGUCAAUUUGUUUAGUGGCACUGAGACAAAAAAAAUAACUAUCACCUAUGGAGGCGGGUUAAAACUGGAGAUAGUUUAUAUAAUACUGGCCAAGGCUAUAAGUCAAACUGUAGGCUAGAACAACAGUUUCAGAUUGUCUCUGCGCGCGCUCUCAGCUCAAAGGUAUGUUUUCCUGCGCAUUGCAGCCUACCUUGUUAAUGCCACAGUAUUGUGCAGAAGGGGCUAGGGGUGAUAGGCAGCAGAGCAUAGAAAAUGUGCUUCUAAUGUUGUCAAAAACUCAAAUGUUCGUUCCUGUCCAAUUCGCUUUCACGGUUCAAGAGAUGGGCCUUUUACGUGGCAAUUCUGUAAUACAAGGAGCAAAGAGCAACUCGGAGGAACUUUUCUAUUCCAAAGUUAGCCCAUAUGAGAUAAUUUCCCUCACUGCUCUGAGAAGUUGGAGAGAAGGGGGUGCAAAUGUGCCAAGUAACGGGAUGUCUAAAUGGAGUGACCGCAUAAGUCAGCGUCUCUGUGCUCCUCCAGAUCCCCCGGGUUCCGCUGCUACCCACCCCAGCCAAAUGACACCCCGCUGGGGCUACAGCAGAGGUCUCUCCCCAAACAGACGGCUCUACAUCCACAGAGGUGUUCAUGGAAUGCAUAGGUCUAAUUGGGCUCCUGAGUGGCACAGUGGUCAAAGGCACUGCAUCUCAAUGCUUGAGGCGUCACUACAGCCACCCAGGUUCGAUUCCAGGCUGUAUCACAUCUGGCCGUGAAUGGGAGUCCUAUAGCAUCGUCCGGGGUAGACCUUCAUUGUGAAUAGGAAUUUGUUCUUAACUGACUUGCCCAGUUAAAUAAAGGUUAAAAAAAAU